RNAcentral lists this ribosomal RNA (1043 nucleotides) under Salmonella enterica subsp. enterica serovar Typhi. RNAcentral describes it as "partial 23S ribosomal RNA". It matches the Rfam family "Bacterial large subunit ribosomal RNA", at positions 568 to 1614 of the family's 2925-position model. The record is from RNAcentral. Lineage: Bacteria; Pseudomonadati; Pseudomonadota; Gammaproteobacteria; Enterobacterales; Enterobacteriaceae.
AAGCAGAGGGGGCUUAGUGGUGGGGUGACUGCGUACCUUUUGUAUAAUGGGUCAGCGACUUAUAUUCUGUAGCAAGGUUAACUGUAUAGGGGAGCCGGAGGGAAACCGAGUCUUAACCGGGCGUUAAGUUGCAGGGUAUAGACCCGAAACCCGGUGAUCUAGCCAUGGGCAGGUUGAAGGUUGGGUAACACUAACUGGAGGACCGAACCGACUAAUGUUGAAAAAUUAGCGGAUGACCUGUGGCUGGGGGUGAAAGGCCAAUCAAACCGGGAGAUAGCUGGUUCUCCCCGAAAGCUAUUUAGGUAGCGCCUCGUGAAUUCAUCUCCGGGGGUAGAGCACUGUUUCGGCUAGGGGGCCAUCCCGGCUUACCAACCCGAUGCAAACUGCGAAUACCGGAGAAUGUUAUCACGGGAGACACACGGCGGGUGCUAAUGUCCGUCGUGAAGAGGGAAACAACCCAGACCGCCAGCUAAGGUCCCAAAGUCAUGGUUAAGUGGGAAACGAUGUGGGAAGGCCCAGACAGCCAGGAUGUUGGCUUAGAAGCAGCCAUCAUUUAAAGAAAGCGUAAUAGCUCACUGGUCGAGUCGGCCUGCGCGGAAGAUGUAACGGGGCUAAACCAUGCACCGAAGCUGCGGCAGCGACACCGUGUGUUGUUGGGUAGGGGAGCGUUCUGUAAGCCUGUGAAGGUGUGCUGUGAGGCAUGCUGGAGGUAUCAGAAGUGCGAAUGCUGACAUAAGUAACGAUAAAGCGGGUGAAAAGCCCGCUCGCCGGAAGACCAAGGGUUCCUGUCCAACGUUAAUCGGGGCAGGGUGAGUCGACCCCUAAGGCGAGGCCGAAAGGCGUAGUCGAUGGGAAACGGGUUAAUAUUCCCGUACUUGGUGUUACUGCGAAGGGGGGACGGAGAAGGCUAUGUUGGCCGGGCGACGGUUGUCCCGGUUUAAGCGUGUAGGUAUGUGUUCCAGGUAAAUCCGGUUCACUUUAACACUGAGGCGUGACGACGAGGCACUACGGUGCUGAAGCAACAAAUGCCCUGCUUCCAGGAA